CAAUCCCUGAGUAGAGUGGCGAACGGGUGAGUAACACGUGGGUGACCUGCCCUCGAGUGGGGGAUAACGUCCCGAAAGGGGCGCUAAUACCGCAUGACAUCCUGUCUUUGAACAGAUGGACAUUAAAGCCGGGGAUCGCAAGACCUGGCGCUCGAGGAGGGGCCCGCGUCCGAUUAGCUAGUUGGUGGGGUAAUGGCCUACCAAGGCGACGAUCGGUAGCCGGCCUGAGAGGGCGGACGGCCACACUGGGACUGAGACACGGCCCAGACCCCUACGGGAGGCAGCAGUGGGGAAUUGUUCGCAAUGGGCGCAAGCCUGACGACGCAACGCCGCGUGGAGGAUGAAGGCCUUCGGGUCGUAAACUCCUUUCGAUCGGGACGAAUGGCUGGUGGCUGAAUACGCCAUCGGAAUGACGGUACCGAGAGAAGAAGCCCCGGCUAACUCCGUGCCAGCAGCCGCGGUAAUACGGGGGGGGCAAGCGUUGUUCGGAAUUACUGGGCGUAAAGGGCGCGUAGGCGGCCCGCUAAGUCAGACGUGAAAUCCCUCGGCUCAACCGGGGAACUGCGUCUGAUACUGGCAGGCUUGAAUCCGGGAGAGGGAUGUGGAAUUCCAGGUGUAGCGGUGAAAUGCGUAGAUAUCUGGAGGAACACCGGUGGCGAAGGCGGCAUCCUGGACCGGUAUUGACGCUGAGGCGCGAAAGCCAGGGGAGCAAACGGGAUUAGAUACCCCGGUAGUCCUGGCCCUAAACGAUGAGUGCUUUGGUGUGGCGGGGUAUCGAUCCCCUGCCGUGCCGAAGCUAACGCAUUA
This 807-nucleotide ribosomal RNA is filed under the name uncultured bacterium. RNAcentral describes it as "bacterial SSU rRNA". It matches the Rfam family "Bacterial small subunit ribosomal RNA", at positions 80 to 862 of the family's 1533-position model. The record is from RNAcentral.